AUUGAACGCUGGCGGCAGGCCUAACACAUGCAAGUCGAGCGGAUGAAGGGAGCUUGCUCCUGGAUUCAGCGGCGGACGGGUGAGUAAUGCCUAGGAAUCUGCCUGGUAGUGGGGGAUAACGUCCGGAAACGGGCGCUAAUACCGCAUACGUCCUGAGGGAGAAAGUGGGGGAUCUUCGGACCUCACGCUAUCAGAUGAGCCUAGGUCGGAUUAGCUAGUUGGUGGGGUAAAGGCCUACCAAGGCGACGAUCCGUAACUGGUCUGAGAGGAUGAUCAGUCACACUGGAACUGAGACACGGUCCAGACUCCUACGGGUGGCAGCAGUGGGGAAUAUUGGACAAUGGGCGAAAGCCUGAUCCAGCCAUGCCGCGUGUGUGAAGAAGGUCUUCGGAUUGUAAAGCACUUUAAGUUGGGAGGAAGGGCAGUAAGUUAAUACCUUGCUGUUUUGACGUUACCAACAGAAUAAGCAGCGGCUAACUUCGUG
Molecule: ribosomal RNA, 484 nt
Filed under: uncultured bacterium
Lineage: Bacteria
Description: partial 16S ribosomal RNA
Rfam family: Bacterial small subunit ribosomal RNA
Source: RNAcentral